GACGAACGCUGGCGGCGUGCUUAACACAUGCAGGUCGAACGGAAAGGCCCUGCUUGCAGGGUACUCGAGUGGCGAACGGGUGAGUAACACGUGGGUGAUCUGCCCUGCACUUCGGGAUAAGCCUGGGAAACUGGGUCUAAUACCGGAUAGGAGCCAUUUUUAGUGUGAUGGUUGGAAAGUUUUUUCGGUGUAGGAUGAGCUCGCGGCCUAUCAGCUUGUUGGUGGGGUAAUGGCCUACCAAGGCGGCGACGGGUAGCCGGCCUGAGAGGGUGGACGGCCACAUGGGGACUGGGGAAGGGCCCGGACUCCUCCGGGGGGCAGGGGUGGGGAAUAUUGCACAAUGGGCGCAAGCCUGAUGCAGCGACGCCGGGUGGGGGAUGACGGCCUUCGGGUUGUAAACCCCUUUCGCUGGGGACGAAGCUUUUUGGGCCGGUACCUAAAAAAGAAGCACCGGCAAACUCCGU
Molecule: ribosomal RNA, 464 nt
Filed under: uncultured bacterium
Lineage: Bacteria
Description: partial 16S ribosomal RNA
Rfam family: Bacterial small subunit ribosomal RNA
Source: RNAcentral